RNAcentral lists this ribosomal RNA (777 nucleotides) under uncultured Neocallimastigales. Its description in RNAcentral is "partial large subunit ribosomal RNA". It matches the Rfam family "Eukaryotic large subunit ribosomal RNA", at positions 26 to 643 of the family's 3401-position model. The record is from RNAcentral. Lineage: Eukaryota; Fungi; Neocallimastigomycota; Neocallimastigomycetes; Neocallimastigales.
CGUCUAUAUACGUAUAGCAUAUCAAUAAGCGGAGGAAAAGAAACUAACUAGGAUUCCCUUAGUAACGGCGAGUGAAGCGGGAAGAGCUCAAAUUUGAAAUCUUCAAGGUUUUACCUUGACGAAUUGUAGUUUAAAGAAGUGUUUUCUGUUGGUGUUUUGGUAAAAGUUCUUUGGAAUAGGACAUCAUAGAGGGUGAGAAUCCCGUAUUUGACCAUUACUUCCAGCGUUGUGAUACACUUUCAACGAGUCGGAUUGUUUGGGAAUGCAGUCCAAAAUGGGUGGUAAAUUUCAUCUAAAGCUAAAUAUUGGCGAGAGACCGAUAGCGAACAAGUACCGUGAGGGAAAGAUGAAAAGAACUUUGAAAAGAGAGUUAAACAGUACGUGAAAUUGUCAAAAGGGAAGCGUUUGACACCAGUGUUGUUUUCUCGAAAAUCAAUUAAAAAUGGCUGAUUUUGUGUUGUAUUGACCUUAUCAAGCUUUCUUCACUCUUUUCUUGUCUUUUUUAAUGCACUUUUCGUUUAACAAGUCAACAUCAAUUUCUUUUGUUGUAAAAGAGUCAUUGGAAGGUGGCUUUCACUUUCGGUGAAAGUGUUUAUAGCCUUUGGCCUCUGCAAUCGGAGAGAUUGAGGUCUGCAGCGUAGAUCCUUCGGGGUUAGAUACAGUUAGAUGCUAAGUUAUAGCCUUUUCAUAGACAACUUGUUGACUAUAAUCAUCAUGUAGCUUACUCGCUUAUGCUAUUUUACCUACGCUUAGGAUGUUGAUGUGAUACUGCGAGCA